UUCUCACCGCAACCGCUCAAAUCAGGCAACAACGGGUUUUUUUAAGCCGGCCUGCAAUGGCGAGUCUAGGGUAUGGG
Desulfosporosinus acidiphilus SJ4 is the source of this 77-nucleotide non-coding RNA. Lineage: Bacteria; Bacillati; Bacillota; Clostridia; Eubacteriales; Desulfitobacteriaceae. The record is from Rfam.